Molecule: ribosomal RNA, 695 nt
Filed under: uncultured Zoogloea sp.
Lineage: Bacteria; Pseudomonadati; Pseudomonadota; Betaproteobacteria; Rhodocyclales; Zoogloeaceae
Description: bacterial SSU rRNA
Rfam family: Bacterial small subunit ribosomal RNA
Source: RNAcentral
ACGGUAACAGGGAGCUUGCUCCGCUGACGAGUGGCGAACGGGUGAGUAAUGCAUCGGAACGUACCGUGUAGUGGGGGAUAACGUAGCGAAAGUUACGCUAAUACCGCAUACGCCCUGAGGGGGAAAGUGGGGGACCGCAAGGCCUCACGCUAUAUGAGCGGCCGAUGUCGGAUUAGCUAGUUGGUAGGGUAAAGGCCUACCAAGGCGACGAUCCGUAGCGGGUCUGAGAGGAUGAUCCGCCACACUGGGACUGAGACACGGCCCAGACUCCUACGGGAGGCAGCAGUGGGGAAUUUUGGACAAUGGGCGCAAGCCUGAUCCAGCCAUGCCGCGUGAGUGAAGAAGGCCUUCGGGUUGUAAAGCUCUUUCAGACGGAAAGAAAUCUCUCGGGAUAACACCCUGGGAGGAUGACGGUACCGUAAGAAGAAGCACCGGCUAACUACGUGCCAGCAGCCGCGGUAAUACGUAGGGUGCGAGCGUUAAUCGGAAUUACUGGGCGUAAAGCGUGCGCAGGCGGUGAUGUAAGACAGAUGUGAAAUCCCCGGGCUCAACCUGGGAACUGCGUUUGUGACUGCAUCACUCGAGUACGGCAGAGGGAGGUGGAAUUCCGCGUGUAGCAGUGAAAUGCGUAGAUAUGCGGAGGAACACCGAUGGCGAAGGCAGCCUCCUGGGCCAGUACUGACGCUCAUGCACGA